Molecule: ribosomal RNA, 253 nt
Filed under: uncultured bacterium
Lineage: Bacteria
Description: partial 16S ribosomal RNA
Rfam family: Bacterial small subunit ribosomal RNA
Source: RNAcentral
UACAGAGGUGGCAAGCGUUGUUCGGAAUUACUGGGCGUAAAGGGCGCGUAGGCGGUUCGUACAGUCAGACGUGAAAUUCCUGGGCUCAACCUGGGGGCUGCGUUUGAUACGUGCGGACUUGAGUGCGGAAGAGGGUCGUGGAAUUCCCAGUGUAGAGGUGAAAUUCGUAGAUAUUGGGAAGAACACCGGUGGCGAAGGCGGCGACCUGGUCCGAUACUGACGCUGAGGCGCGAAAGCGUGGGGAGCAAACAGG